Molecule: ribosomal RNA, 394 nt
Filed under: uncultured bacterium
Lineage: Bacteria
Description: partial 16S ribosomal RNA
Rfam family: Bacterial small subunit ribosomal RNA
Source: RNAcentral
AUACGUAGGGAGCGAGCGUUGUCCGGAAUUACUGGGCGUAAAGGGCGCGUAGGCGGCGCUUCAAGUCGUCUGUCAAAUGGAAGGGCUUAACCCUUUUUCGCAGACGAAACUGGAGAGCUUGAGAAGCAGAGAGGCAAACAGAAUUCCUGGUGUAGCGGUGAAAUGCGUAGAUAUCAGGAAGAAUACCAGUGGCGAAGGCGGUUUGCUGGCUGCAUACUGACGCUGAAGCGCGAAAGCCAGGGGAGCGAACGGGAUUAGAUACCCCGGUAGUCCUGGCAGUAAACGAUGUAUGCUGGGUGUGAGACUAGCGAUAGUUUCGUGCCGAAGUUAACGCGAUAAGCAUACCGCCUGGGGAGUACGGCCGCAAGGUUGAAACUUAAAGGAAUUGGCGGGG